RNAcentral lists this small RNA (163 nucleotides) under Escherichia coli 907889. RNAcentral's name for it is "IS102 RNA". It matches the Rfam family "IS102 RNA", at positions 1 to 165 of the family's 206-position model. From Rfam's summary of the family: This family consists of a group of Shigella flexneri and Escherichia coli RNA genes which are 208 bases in length and are found between the yeeP and flu genes. The record is from RNAcentral. Lineage: Bacteria; Pseudomonadati; Pseudomonadota; Gammaproteobacteria; Enterobacterales; Enterobacteriaceae.
ACGAUCAAUAUCUAUUUUAUCAAUCGUUUAUAUCGAUCGAUAAGCUAAUAAUAACCUUUGUCAGUAACAUGCACAGAUACGUACAGAAAGACAUUCAGGGAACAACAGAACCACAAUUCAGGAACUCCCACAGCCGGACCUCCGGCACUGUAACCCUUUACCU